GCCACUUCACCCUAGCUGAUUCAGUGUCUUUCUUACUGAUCUUUCUUUGUCUGAAAUUCAGUAUUUUCAUGGUUAUUCUUGUCAUUCUGGGAUUCAUCUACUUCUGGAGGGUAUAUGGAUACAGAUCAACUAGGAAUACCAAAGGACCUGGGACCACAAGAAGGCAGGACUAGAAUGACUUCAGGAGCCCACGAAACCACUGAGAGAAUAAAAAACAUCUGGACAUCAAGUUUAGAUUAGAUGAGAUGUCAUGAAAACAGCAACUCACCUUCUAUUCAGUCUUCAAAAUCACAGUCUUCUAGUUCAGCAUCAAGUCCAAGUGAUCCUGUUAGUCUGACAUCUUUGUAUUUCUAAAAGUCACUGUCACUGGUGUAGUGCACCAAAGUAAAAGACCAUGGGUUGGGUAGGUGGUGCAUAGGAGAGAGUUCAGGUCCCGGAACAGGAUGGCAUAGGACCUAGUGGGGUUGUAUUAUUGUGUGGAAAACUGAGAAAUGUUAUGCAUGUACAAACUAUUGUAUUUACUGUCGAGUGUAAAACAUUAAUCCUCCAAUAAACAAAAAAAAUCUCAAAAUUAGUGCAAGUAAAAAAAAAAAUUCCCCAGUAUAGAAAUAAUAAUAAUAAUCACUGUCACGAUUGGCAAGACUUGCUUCAUACUCUCUUUGUCUCUACACAAGCAUAUACACACACGCACACUUUGUCAUCAUGAGGCUUAGAUGAUGCAUGUACGUUCCUCUUUGUCCUAUAGAGUUCUUUUUUUCUAAAGAAAAAGAGUGAAACAGCCAUACGUUUCAUCCUAAAGAGGAAGAUAAGUCAGCAAAUGGCAAAUAACAAUUUGUGAAUUUUUUCCCUAUAUCCCUCAGGGGAUGAAAGGGCUUGGAAUGUGCUCUCAUCUUUCCUCCUUGCUUCUCUGUCUAUUUAAAAUGCUAAUCAAUGUUUCAAAAACCAGAGCCACUAUAAACAAUCUCCAGUCAAUGGUCAAUUAGUAAUUUUCACUCAGCCUUCUAUUAGUGGGGCAGUUGGUCUGAAGUUUUAGUCUGAAGUUUGGAUUUCUCCCUGAAUUACAUAGUCAUAAUUCAGUUUCAACAGCAUCUGCAUUUUUGAAAGAAAUUUAAUUUUAUAUCAGAUGAACUGUUAUUUAGACAUUAGUCAUUGAGGCAGCACUGAAUGGCAACUCACCUUUUAGAGCUUCCGAAUCUCAAUCUUUUUUCAUGUCAGGUAGGAAGUGAUUAGUGUAGAUAACAAUACUUAAUGAAGCCCUAACACCAUCUAGAGCCACUGUAAACGGGAACUUUAUAUAUUUGGCAUUACUUACAUUAACCCCCUAGGAAAAAAAUGUCUUUUAUUUAAAGGAAAAAGUUCUCUUGUAAAGUGACAGAUUAUUAGGGCAGUUUCAUUUUCAACAAAACUCUAAUAGAGAAAAUGAAUGCAUACUACCUUGAGGAUAUUAUAUAAAUAGGAGAAUCUGAAAAACAGCUACAAGAUUUUCAGUGUAAUCUAAUCACAAAAAAUCUUAAUUUUUGCUUAUUGUCAUUCCAGUAUUGACUGGUGAUACUAUGGAAGAAGCGAAAAUGGAUAUGCUCUAAAUUAGUAAUGCAUCCUCUGGUUCUGUUCUUUUUAUAGUAUCUAUCCUUCACUCCACAGGUAAAUGAAAAAUAGAAAAGGACAUUUAUUUACUUAUUUAUUCCCUUUUGUUGCCCUUGUUUUAUUGUUGUAGUUACUAUUGUUUCUCAUUGUUAUUGGAUAGGACACAGAGAAAUGGAGGAGGGGAAGACAGAGGGGUAGAGAAAGAUAGACACCUGCAGACCUGCUUCACCACUUGUGAAGCGACUUCCCUGCAAGUGGGGAGGCGGGGCUCGAAUCUGGAUCCUUAUGCGAGUCCUUGUGCUUUGGGCCAAGUGCGCUUAGCCCACUGCUCUACCACCCUACUCCCAGGGCAUUUUUUAAAUGAUUUUUUAUGAACUCGAUUGGGAAUAAUGACCACUUUUGCUCCCAUUCUAUUGAUUGAAAUUUGUAAUAAGACCACACUAACUUCUUCUAUGAAAGUAAAAAAUAAAUCAAUAAAUAAAGUAACUGCCUUAGAAGUGUUGAGGGACAAAGUACCUCCCAGAAAAUAAGAGUGGUUAUAUUGUAGGUAGGGCUUGGCAAGGUGGAGGUGGGGCUUGGGCUUUGAAAAGCUAGACCUUUGGGCUCUUGGGCUUGCUCUCUGCCGGGACCACCAACCACGAUCUAAGUGUCCUUUU
Erinaceus europaeus (western European hedgehog) is the source of this 2240-nucleotide long non-coding RNA. RefSeq lists it as uncharacterized. The record is from RefSeq and is a predicted model, not a curated record. The transcript has 3 exons. NCBI's taxonomy places the organism in Eukaryota, Metazoa, Chordata, Mammalia, Eulipotyphla, Erinaceidae.